AGCGAACGCUGGCGGCAGGCUUAACACAUGCAAGUCGAGCGGGUGUAGCAAUACAUCAGCGGCAGACGGGUGAGUAACGCGUGGGAACGUACCUUUUGGUUCGGAACAACCCAGGGAAACUUGGGCUAAUACCGGAUAAGCCCUUACGGGGAAAGAUUUAUCGCCGAAAGAUCGGCCCGCGUCUGAUUAGCUAGUUGGUGAGGUAAUGGCUCACCAAGGCGACGAUCAGUAGCUGGUCUGAGAGGAUGAUCAGCCACAUUGGGACUGAGACACGGCCCAAACUCCUACGGGAGGCAGCAGUGGGGAAUAUUGGACAAUGGGGGCAACCCUGAUCCAGCCAUGCCGCGUGAGUGAUGAAGGCCCUAGGGUUGUAAAGCUCUUUUGUGCGGGAAGAUAAUGACGGUACCGCAAGAAUAAGCCCCGGCUAACUUCGUGCCAGCCGCCGCAGUAA
This 451-nucleotide ribosomal RNA is filed under the name uncultured bacterium. RNAcentral's name for it is "partial 16S ribosomal RNA". It matches the Rfam family "Bacterial small subunit ribosomal RNA", at positions 29 to 523 of the family's 1533-position model. The record is from RNAcentral.